AAAUUGAAGAGUUUGAUCAUGGCUCAGAUUGAACGCUGGCGGCAGGCCUAACACAUGCAAGUCGAACGGUAGCACAGAGAGCUUGCUCUCGGGUGACGAGUGGCGGACGGGUGAGUAAUGUCUGGGAAACUGCCUGAUGGAGGGGGAUAACUACU
RNAcentral lists this ribosomal RNA (155 nucleotides) under Salmonella enterica. RNAcentral describes it as "partial 16S ribosomal RNA". It matches the Rfam family "Bacterial small subunit ribosomal RNA", at positions 1 to 151 of the family's 1533-position model. The record is from RNAcentral. RNAcentral also lists the same sequence under 3 other names. Lineage: Bacteria; Pseudomonadati; Pseudomonadota; Gammaproteobacteria; Enterobacterales; Enterobacteriaceae.